Molecule: ribosomal RNA, 441 nt
Filed under: uncultured bacterium
Lineage: Bacteria
Description: partial 16S ribosomal RNA
Rfam family: Bacterial small subunit ribosomal RNA
Source: RNAcentral
CCUACGGGAGGCUGCAGUGGGGAAUAUUGCACAAUGGGCGAAAGCCUGAUGCAGCAACGCCGCGUGAGCGAUGAAGGCCUUCGGGUCGUAAAGCUCUGUCCUCAAGGAAGAUAAUGACGGUACUUGAGGAGGAAGCCCCGGCUAACUACGUGCCAGCAGCCGCGGUAAUACGUAGGGGGCAAGCGUUGUUCGGAAUGACUGGGCGUAAAGGGUGUGUAGGCGGUGUAGCAAGUUAGAAGUGAAAUACCUAGAGCUUAACUCAGGUGCUGCUUCUAAAACUGCUAUACUUGAGUGCAGUAGAGGAAAGUGGAAUUCCUAGUGUAGCGGUGGAAUGCGUAGAUAUUAGGAGGAACAUCAGUGGCGAAGGCGACUUUCUGGACUGUAACUGACGCUGAGGCACGAAAGUGUGGGGAGCAAACAGGAUUAGAUACCCCUGUAGUC